RNAcentral lists this ribosomal RNA (417 nucleotides) under uncultured bacterium. Its description in RNAcentral is "bacterial SSU rRNA". It matches the Rfam family "Bacterial small subunit ribosomal RNA", at positions 917 to 1333 of the family's 1533-position model. The record is from RNAcentral.
GGGCCCGCACAAGCGGUGGAUUAUGUGGAUUAAUUCGAUGCAACGCGAAAAACCUUACCUGGCCUUGACAUGUACCGAAUUUAGCAGAGAUGCUUUAGUGCUCGUAAGAGAACGGUAACACAGGUGCUGCAUGGCUGUCGUCAGCUCGUGUCGUGAGAUGUUGGGUUAAGUCCCGCAACGAGCGCAACCCUUGCCAUUAAUUGCCAUCAUUUAGUUGGGCACUUUAAUGGGACUGCCGGUGACAAACCGGAGGAAGGUGGGGAUGACGUCAAGUCCUCAUGGCCCUUAUGGCCAGGGCUUCACACGUAAUACAAUGGACGGUACAGAGGGACGCCAACCCGCGAGGGGGAGCCAAUCCCAGAAAGCCGUUCGUAGUCCGGAUUGUUGUCUGCAACUCGACAACAUGAAGUCGGAAUC